RNAcentral lists this long non-coding RNA (932 nucleotides) under Coturnix japonica (Japanese quail). RNAcentral describes it as "lncRNA (ENSCJPG00005001227.1)". Lineage: Eukaryota; Metazoa; Chordata; Aves; Galliformes; Phasianidae. The record is from RNAcentral.
UUUAUUGCAGGUGUACUUUUAAAGAGUGAAGCGCCAUAAAUCCAUAGCACAAUAAUGAAAGGAAUCUGUCCUUUUCUUGGUUUCACACAGCUGUGGUUUUGCUGCAAGUAAUCCUGAUCACUGGUGGCGAUGUAUGGUGCUGCCAGAGGUCCAGCUGUAGCCUGAGAGGCAGCACAAAUGCAAACUGAGGUUUUCACGCAGCGACCUGUGCUCCAGCUCCCAGACAUCUGCAGGUGCUUCUGAAUGUGCCCUUCCCAACGAGAGAACCACCCACGGGAAAUGAAGACAAUUUUGAGCGUGUCUGAAAAAUGGAAUGACUGGAACUUCCUAAAUUUAGAACUGAAAUCUUGCUCCUGUCCUCAAAUCAACAGGCCAUUGAAUGCUGCACAUGAUUAAAAUAUAGAGGGAAACAUCUCUGAGGCUUUACUUUUUUACAGUAGCUAUUGACCUGUGAUAUCACAGAUGCUAAUCAUGCUCUUUCUGCGCUAUCUUGGAUUUACAAACACAUUUAAAUCAGUGGAUAUUAAGAUUAAUGGUGGGACCAUUACAUAGCAGCCUUCCUGUUCUUCCUUCACUUCCCAGCUGCCGUUUAUAGAAACAACCUUCUGUCUUUCAGUUUUAAAAGAUACAGCCUUAUAUCCUGGAAGAUUAGUUCUACCAGUAUUUUUAGAUAGGGGUUGCGUCAUGUGCAUAAGCAAGCAGUCUCACCAGUUUGGAAGGGCACAAAUUUGAAUCAUCCCAUUUUAUUUACUUUUUAAGCUUAAAAAACUUGACAAAGAAUCCCAAGCCUAAUUAUAAGUGAUCCUCCCCAAGGGUUCUAGUGAAUGGAAACUGAUUUUUGUUUUAUGCAGAUGUCAAAUGAACUAAUCUAGCACAUCACUGGAAUAGGCAUAUGUAAUAAAAAUUUCAUAGUCUGUUUACCUGUCUAAUUG